GGAGUCUGGACCGUGUCUCAGUUCCAGUGUGGGGGACCUUCCUCUCAGAACCCCUACUGAUCGUCGGCCAGGUGGGCCGUUACCCCGCCUGCUGCCUAAUCAGACGCAUCCCCAUCCAUGACCGAUAAAUCUUUAUUCCAAAUCAGAUGCCCUCUUCGGAAACCAUCCGGGAGUAAUCCGCCUUUCGGCGGGCUGAACCGGAGUCAUGGGAAGGUUGGAUACGCGUUACUCACCCGUGCGCCGGUCGCCAUCAUUGUGUGCAAGCACACAACAUGCUGCCCCUCGACUUGCAUGUGUUAAGCCUGUAGCUAGCGUUCAUC
This 320-nucleotide ribosomal RNA is filed under the name uncultured Prevotella sp. Its description in RNAcentral is "partial 16S ribosomal RNA". The record is from RNAcentral. Lineage: Bacteria; Pseudomonadati; Bacteroidota; Bacteroidia; Bacteroidales; Prevotellaceae.